RNAcentral lists this long non-coding RNA (228 nucleotides) under Setaria viridis. Its description in RNAcentral is "long non-coding RNA (SVIR_LNC010600)". The record is from RNAcentral. Lineage: Eukaryota; Viridiplantae; Streptophyta; Magnoliopsida; Poales; Poaceae.
GGAGUCGCAAUGCUGUCGAGUACUCUGCUUUUGAGGGUACACGGGUGUACUGUACUCUUUUGUCCUUUUGUGGAUGCAUGGGUGUACUGUACUCUUUUGUCUUUUGUGGCAUAAGUGCCUUCACGUGGGCAGAGUCAGAAGUCGUCAGACUGCAUUGAUCACGGGCGCACAAUAACUCUUGGGUAGGUGGUAGUUGCAACUCUCGGCUAUAAAUAGGUCCAUCUGGAU